Molecule: transfer RNA, 69 nt
Filed under: Acheilognathus tabira nakamurae
Lineage: Eukaryota; Metazoa; Chordata; Actinopteri; Cypriniformes; Acheilognathidae
Description: tRNA-Ser
Source: RNAcentral
GAGAAGGGAUAAGAAUCAAUAAGUACUGCUAAUCCUUAAGCCCCGGGGUUAAAUUCCCCGGCCUUCUUA